RNAcentral lists this long non-coding RNA (1792 nucleotides) under Dermacentor andersoni. Its description in RNAcentral is "uncharacterized LOC126544491". The record is from RNAcentral. Lineage: Eukaryota; Metazoa; Arthropoda; Arachnida; Ixodida; Ixodidae.
CAUGCUUGCUUUUCGUUCGCACUGUCGAGCUACGCAUUGUGAUCCUCCACGCUGUGCGUUUGUUCUUUCGCCUUCGAAAUAUCUGUCGCCGUCUGUGCAUUGAAUUUCGAAAACGCACAAAACGGUGACACUGCGCUUUUAUGGAGGGCAAGUAGUCGGUAAAACCAAGCUUGAAAAUAUGGUUCGAAAGUGUGCGCUUGCCUGCACUUGUCUGGUCUCGUUCGUUAUACUAACUCACGCCUUCUUAAAUCAAAUGCGCGUGAGCAACCGUCCAUGUUGCGACUGCCAAUUAAGAAAUGGAAGUUAUCCUAGGGACUGCCUCUGCCCGUGGGACUUGCACUUUGGAGACGUGAUGGAGAACAUGUAUCACUACGACCAGCUAACGCGAACGUGUGUCAUGCCAGCCAGGGAGCUGAACUGCAACGCAUUUGAUUCACAAGCCACUUGCGAGCAGAAGUGCAACAUGACCAUGCACUCACCGCGGUUAAAGCGCAAGAGCCGUAGAAGAACGAAAUCGAUCUAGCCAUUGAAUCAACACCAUUUCUCACGGGGCCCAACAAAUACCUCGAGCCUAUCUGACUUUCAUGAGGGCUGUCUGUUGAGCUGGUUGACCUUACAUUAUAGUUAUGGUCCAUAAGCGCAAUUUAUUAAUGGGUACAAACAACAAAGCGGAGAAGAACAGGCGCCCGUACUUCUACAAUUUGAUUCCACUGAUUUGAUUCAUUACACAUUCCGACUUUCAUGCGGAUUUGACUGAAUAUGUGUGCCAAAUAUAGCCUGAUGUUAGAAAUGCUUCUCAAUGAAAACGGUGCCGAAACCAUUUUUUUUUCAGUCAGCAGCGAAAUCUUGUGUCCUUCCCCUGCUACUAGUAAUCACAACGCCAACCCAGUGCUUACGUAGUGGUUAAAGCCAGCAAGGUAGUGAUCUCACACCAGCUCGAGGAGAAUACCAUAACCUAUCCUCCUGACCUUCAUUCAUUUUGCUACUUUUGUGGAUUUCUUUUUGAGAUGAAGAGCACGAAUAUCGACUACGCUGACUCAGUCCGAGCUCUGUGUCUCCCUGCAGAUAUGUACCACAUCUUGCAUAUCUAUUAAAGCGAAGGCGUUCAUGCGAUUAGAUGAACUCGAAAACUUUGUGUGCUUGUUUCCUCGUUGUCCUAGGAGAGCUGUGUUAAUCAUGGAGUUUAUAUUUACAGUGUAGGUGAGAAAAUCUAACGGGAUACACAGGAAAUUUCUCAACAGUGUAGAUUAUUUAGGGGUUAAAUUAAAAUCACUAAACACUCGUUUUUUUGCCUUCCAGGGAGCAUUAGAUAAAAUACUUACAAAUUUUACCCACUCUCCUGACAGAGCGAAACGUGGUAGCAAUUUCAUAUUUGCAGUGUAUAGGAUUGUGAGUGAUGUAAACCGAAAUGUUAAAGUGUGUAGGGUAAUUAGACUUUUUGUAUAAGAUUACUUGUAGAAGCGCUUCGGAGGUUUAGAAGCGUGUAUUACGAACUGCGAAGAAAUUUUGUAUAAAGCUGUGAAAAUACAACCUGCCCAAUGUUAACGUUCUGAGUUUCUUACGCGUCAUGUGUAGCAAAGGCUUCAAUAAGAUAAUUUCAUUACAGCCCUUGCAAAGAAUCCUUAAGCAAGUUACCGAGGGCCUUGCAUGACCGUUGUGACUUUUAUUUGUCAGUAGGCUCAAAAUACGCAGCGUCACACCGAGGCACACAUGUGCAAAACAAGUGCAUGCAUUAAUCAUUUGUAACCAUUUGUGUUUCUUGACAAAAUAAAAUAUAACGAUUACUUUUUUA